GGCAGGGCGGGUGCCUAAUACAUGCAGUCGAGCGAACCGAUUAAGAGCUUGCUCUUAAGAAGUUAGCGGCGGACGGGUGAGUAACACGUAGGUAACCUGCCUAUAAGACUGGGAUAACUCCGGGAAACCGGGGCUAAUACCGGAUAACAUUUUGCACCGCAUGGUGCGAAAUUGAAAGGCGGCUUCGGCUGUCACUUAUAGAUGGACCUGCGGCGCAUUAGCUAGUUGGUGAGGUAACGGCUCACCAAGGCGACGAUGCGUAGCCGACCUGAGAGGGUGAUCGGCCACACUGGGACUGAGACACGGCCCAGACUCCUACGGGAGGCAGCAGUAGGGAAUCUUCCGCAAUGGACGAAAGUCUGACGGAGCAACGCCGCGUGAGCGAUGAAGGCCUUCGGGUCGUAAAGCUCUGUUGUUAGGGAAGAACAAGUGCUAGUUGAAUAAGCUGGCACCUUGACGGUACCUAACCAGAAAGCCACGGCUAACUACGUGCCAGCAGCCGCGGUAAUACGUAGGUGGCAAGCGUUAUCCGGAAUUAUUGGGCGUAAAGCGCGCGCAGGUGGUUUCUUAAGUCUGAUGUGAAAGCCCACGGCUCAACCGUGGAGGGUCAUUGGAAACUGGGAGACUUGAGUGCAGAAGAGGAAGUGGAAUUCCAUGUGUAGCGGUGAAAUGCGUAGAGAUAUGGAGGAACACCAGUGGCGAAGGCGACUUUCUGGUCUGCAACUGACACUGAGGCGCGAAAGCGUGGGGAGCAAACAGGAUUAGAUACCCUGGUAGUCCACGCCGUAAACGAUGAGUGCUAAGUGUUAGAGGGUUUCCGCCCUUUAGUGCUGAAGUUAACGCAUUAAGCACUCCGCCUGGGGAGUACGGCCGCAAGGCUGAAACUCAAAGGAAUUGACGGGGGCCCGCACAAGCUGUGGAGCAUGUGUUUAAUUCGAAGCAACGCGAGAACCUUACCAGUCUUGACAUCCUCUGAACACCUAGAGAUAGGGCUUCCCCUUCGGGGCAGAGUGACAGUGUGCAUGAUUGUCGUCAAGCUCGUGAUCGUGAAGAUGUUUGGGUUAAGU
RNAcentral lists this ribosomal RNA (1067 nucleotides) under Bacillus mycoides. RNAcentral's name for it is "bacterial SSU rRNA". It matches the Rfam family "Bacterial small subunit ribosomal RNA", at positions 34 to 1085 of the family's 1533-position model. Lineage: Bacteria; Bacillati; Bacillota; Bacilli; Caryophanales; Bacillaceae. The record is from RNAcentral.